GACGAACGCUGGCGGCGUGCUUAACACAUGCAAGUCGAACGGAAAGGCCCCUUUGGGGGUCCUCGAGUGGCGAACGGGUGAGUAACACGUGAGUAACCUGCCCUUGACUUCGGGAUAACUUCAGGAAACUGGGGCUAAUACCGGAUAGGAAUCCUUGCUGCAUGGUGGGGGUUGGAAAGCUUCGGCGGUUUUGGAUGGACUCGCGGCUUAUCAGCUUGUUGGUGGGGUAGUGGCUUACCAAGGCUUUGACGGGUAGCCGGCCUGAGAGGGCGACCGGCCACAUUGGGACUGAGAUACGGCCCAGACUCCUACGGGAGGCAGCAGUGGGGAAUAUUGCACAAUGGGCGGAAGCCUGAUGCAGCAACGCCGCGUGCGGGAUGACGGCCUUCGGGUUGUAAACCGCUUUCAGCAGGGGCGAAGCUUGUGGUGACGGUACCUGCAGAAGAAGCACCGGCUAACUACGG
This 464-nucleotide ribosomal RNA is filed under the name uncultured bacterium. Its description in RNAcentral is "partial 16S ribosomal RNA". It matches the Rfam family "Bacterial small subunit ribosomal RNA", at positions 28 to 506 of the family's 1533-position model. The record is from RNAcentral.